AAAAAGGAAGAAAGAAAAGCGAAUCCCAAAGUUUUCCGAUCACUUUCCUUCUCUUUCUCUCCCUCUGUUUGUUUUAUGGGAAAAUCACUCCCAACCACAACCAGGCUUCAAGAAUUCGCUAGGGUUGUUACAUCUGAUAAGUUCCAAAGUCCCAAGCACGCAAAACCCAUCUCGAGAAACCGGGUUUCGCCUCCAGAAACAACGAAAUUGAGAGGGGCACGACUCGGCUCGGAACGGGUGAGGUUGAAGAUGGAGAGCUCAGAGGGGCAGCGUCGGAUGCCGCUGGCCCAGGUGGUCUCCGACUGCGCAAAGCGUUGGUUUCAGGACACUCUUAAAGAAGCCAAAGCUGGUGACACAACCAUGCAGGUUUUGGUGGGUCAAAUGUACUUCAGUGGCUAUGGAGUUUCCAGAGACGCUCAGAAGGGCCGGGCUUGGAUUAGUAGAGCUUCCAAGAGUCGAUCGUCAGCUUGGAAAGUUGGUGAUAAGCAUCCAGGUUACAAUGCAAGUGACUCUGAUUCAGACGACUUGAAGAAUGAUGAAAAAUGAAGGCAAAUUCAAAACUAGGAGCAUACAUGAAUAGUGAUUGGCUAGGACAUACUCAGCAGUAAAUAUUUUCAUUGUCUCAUGUUCGGAUCAAUUAUCAACGAGGAAGGAGUAAUUGGAGAGUGGUGUACAGGGAUGGAUGAAGUUGAGAAUGCUUUUGGUCUUGUCUUGGCCUGUGCCAAUUCCAUGCUUGCCAGGUUUCAGUAACAAUCAGCAGCUUCUAUUGUCUCAUUUUUCCCUCUACUUAGUUCAUUUCUUUUCUCGAAUUUUUGUUCAUUAGUGGGUACAUUAACUGUCACUAUUUUUAUUUUUUUUUAAAUCUUUUAUAUACAUGGUAAAAAGAACUGUUUGAUCUAUUUUCAUUGAAGUUUUUGGGGCUGUGAUAGAA
Vitis riparia (riverbank grape) is the source of this 931-nucleotide RNA transcript. RefSeq lists it as uncharacterized. The transcript has 5 exons. The record is from RefSeq and is a predicted model, not a curated record. Lineage: Eukaryota; Viridiplantae; Streptophyta; Magnoliopsida; Vitales; Vitaceae.